UACAGAGGUCUCAAGCGUUGUUCGGAUUCAUUGGGCGUAAAGGGUGCGUAGGUGGCAUGGUAAGUUGAAGGUGAAAUCUCGGGGCUCAACCUCGAAACUGCCUUCAAUACUGCUGUGCUUGAGGACUGUAGAGGAGAAUGGUAUUCACGGUGUAGCAGUGAAAUGCGUAGAUAUCGGGAGGAAGACCAGUGGCGAAGGCGAUUCUCGGGGCAGUUCCUGACACUGAGGCACGAAGGCUAGGGGAGCAAACGGG
Molecule: ribosomal RNA, 253 nt
Filed under: uncultured bacterium
Lineage: Bacteria
Description: partial 16S ribosomal RNA
Rfam family: Bacterial small subunit ribosomal RNA
Source: RNAcentral